AACGCACAUUGCGCCCAUUAGUAUUCUAGUGGGCAUGCCUGUUCGAGCGUCAUUUCAACCUCUAAGCACAGCUUACUGUUGGGAAUCUACGUCUGUAGUUCCUCAAAGACAUUGGCGGAGCGGCAGUAGUCCUCUGAGCGUAGUAAUUUUUUAUCUCGCUUCUGUUAGGCGCUGUCGUCCCGGCCGUUAAACCCCCAAUUUUUUCUGGUUGACCUCGGAUCAGGUAGGAAUACCCGCUGAACUUAA
This 246-nucleotide unclassified non-coding RNA is filed under the name uncultured fungus. Its description in RNAcentral is "partial contains 5.8S ribosomal RNA, internal transcribed spacer 2, and large subunit ribosomal RNA". The record is from RNAcentral. RNAcentral also lists the same sequence under 1 other name. Lineage: Eukaryota; Fungi.